This 374-nucleotide ribosomal RNA is filed under the name uncultured organism. RNAcentral describes it as "partial 16S ribosomal RNA". It matches the Rfam family "Bacterial small subunit ribosomal RNA", at positions 527 to 896 of the family's 1533-position model. The record is from RNAcentral.
GUAGGUGGCAAGCGUUGUCCGGAAUUAUUGGGCGUAAAGCGCGCGCAGGUGGUUCUUUAAGUCUGAUGUGAAAGCCCCCGGCUCAACCGGGGAGGGUCAUUGGAAACUGGGGAACUUGAGUGCAGGAGAGGAAAGUGGAAUUCCACGUGUAGCGGUGAAAUGCGUAGAUAUGUGGAGGAACACCAGUGGCGAAGGCGACUUUCUGGCCUGUAACUGACACUGAGGCGCGAAAGCGUGGGGAGCGAACAGGGAUUAGAUACCCUGGUAGUCCACGCCGUAAACGAUGAGUGCUAAGUGUUGGGGGGGUUUCCCGCCCCUCAGUGCUGCAGCUAACGCAUUAAGCACUCCGCCUGGGGAGUACGGUCGCAAGACUG